This 154-nucleotide microRNA precursor is filed under the name Podarcis lilfordi (Lilford's wall lizard). Lineage: Eukaryota; Metazoa; Chordata; Lepidosauria; Squamata; Lacertidae. The record is from RNAcentral.
UAUAUGUGUGUGUGUGUGUGUGUGUGUGUGUGUGUUGUUUGUUGUUGUUUAGUCGUUUAGUCGUGUCCGACUCUUCGUGACCCCAUGGACCAGAGCACGCCAGGCACUCCUGUCUUCAUACACACACACACACACACACAUAUAUAUAUAUAUG